Molecule: ribosomal RNA, 440 nt
Filed under: uncultured bacterium
Lineage: Bacteria
Description: bacterial SSU rRNA
Rfam family: Bacterial small subunit ribosomal RNA
Source: RNAcentral
CCUACGGGUGGCAGCAGUGGGGAAUUUUGGACAAUGGGCGCAAGCCUGAUCCAGCCAUGCCGCGUGGGUGAAGAAGGCCUUCGGGUUGUAAAGCCCUUUCGGCUGGGACGAAAAGGCCCGUGCUAACACCACGGGUCCAUGACGGUACCAGCAGAAGAAGCACCGGCUAACUACGUGCCAGCAGCCGCGGUAAUACGUAGGGUGCAGGCGUUAAUCGGAAUUACUGGGCGUAAAGCGUGCGCAGGCGGUCUCUUAAGACAGGUGUGAAAUCCCCGAGCUUAACUUGGGAACUGCGCUUGUAACUGAGAGGCUAGAGUGUGGCAGAGGGGGGUGGAAUUCCACGUGUAGCAGUGAAAUGCGUAGAGAUGUGGAGGAACACCGAUGGCGAAGGCAGCCCCCUGGGCUAACACUGACGCUCAUGCACGAAAGCGUGGGGAGCA